Molecule: ribosomal RNA, 428 nt
Filed under: uncultured bacterium
Lineage: Bacteria
Description: partial 16S ribosomal RNA
Rfam family: Bacterial small subunit ribosomal RNA
Source: RNAcentral
GUGGGGAAUAUUGGGCAAUGGGGGAAACCCUGACCCAGCAACGCCGCGUGAGGGAAGAAGGCCUUCGGGUUGUAAACCUCUGUCCUUGGUGACGAAAAAAAUGACGGUAGCCAAGGAGGAAGCCCCGGCUAACUACGUGCCAGCAGCCGCGGUAAUACGGAGGAUGCGAGCGUUAUCCGGAUUUAUUGGGUUUAAAGGGUGCGUAGGCGGCUUUGUAAGUCAGCGGUGAAAUUUUGCAGCUUAACUGUAAAAGAGCCGUUGAUACUGUGAAGCUAGGAGUUGGUGGCUGUGGGCGGAAUGUGUGGUGUAGCGGUGAAAUGCAUAGAGAUCACACAGAAUAUCGAUUGCGAAGGCAGCUCACAAAGCCAAUAUUGACGCUGAGGCACGAAAGUGUGGGGAUCAAACAAGAUUAGAUACCCUAGUAGUCC